GCCGGGCCGGGCCGGGGCGGCGCAUGAGGGAGUGGGGCCGCGGGCCCGGCGCGGCGCGGCGCUGGGUGCCGGCGCGGGGCACCCGGAAGGACAACGGGGCGGCCGGGCGGGGAGGCGGCGGCUGCAUGGACAGCGGCGGGGAUGGGGCAGCAGCAGAGCGCGCCGAGCGCCCCCCCGCCGCCGCCGGAGCCUGGCGAGCCCGAGCCCCGCGGCCCCGUGGAGGAGGAGGAGGAGGAGGAGGCGGUGGCGGCGGCGGGCGGCAGCGGGCUAGCGGCCGGGCGGCGGCACGUGUGCUGCAGCGUGUACUGCGUGGAGAGCGAGCGGCCCGGCCCCGAGCCCGACCCCAGCCCCGGGGAGGAGCCGCGGGGCCCGGACCUGGACUUGUACCUGCUGCCGCAGCCCUUCCCCGCGCUGCUGGCGGCCGGCUGCGGGCCCGUGCUGCUGCUGGGCUGCCGCGUGUGCCUGGAGGAGAGGCCCGUGCAGCCGCUGCCCUGCUGCAAGAAGGCGGUGUGCCAGGACUGCCUGAGCCGCUACCUCGGCUCCCAGGUGCAGUUGGGGCAAGCAGAUAUAAAAUGUCCCAUCACUGAGUGCAAUGAACACUUGGAUGAAACAACCAUCCUCUACAAUCUGCCACACAACGACAUCAUCAAGUAUAAAUAUUUCCUGGAACUCAGCCGUAUUGACUCCAGCACCAAACCAUGCCCUCAAUGCAAGCACUUUACAACCUUCAGGAGGAGAGGCCACAUUCCAACUCCUACCAAAUUGGAGAACAAAUACAAAAUCCAGUGUCCAUCUUGCCAAUUUGUCUGGUGUUUUAAGUGCCACUCUCCCUGGCAUGAAGGCGUCAACUGUAAAGAAUACAAAAAAGGGGACAAGCUGCUGCGUCACUGGGCCAGUGAGAUUGAACAUGGGCAAAGGAAUGCCCAAAAAUGUCCCAAAUGCAAGAUCCACAUCCAGCGAACAGAAGGGUGUGACCACAUGACCUGUUCACAAUGUAACACUAAUUUCUGUUACCGUUGCGGGGAGAAAUACCGCCAGCUCCGUUUCUUUGGAGAUCACACGUCAAACCUCAGUAUCUUUGGAUGCAAAUACCGCUGCCUCCCCGAGAGACCGCAUUUAAGGAGAUUAGUGCGAGGCUCUGUCUGUGCUGGAAAGUUGCUCAUUACACCCCUAAUACUGGUUUUGGGACUGGCACUGGGAGCCAUAGCUAUUGUAAUAGGUUUAUUUGCUUUCCCUAUCUUUUGCCUUUGCGAAAAGCAGAAGAAAAGGUCACGGACAGGAAUGCCCCGGUAAGAGCGGGCCUUACCCAAACUGAACUGGUCCUGCAAAGUCUAUACAAGACUUGUGCAACAAAGCAAUACAGUGCUGGGUAACACCUUCGAAGUCAUCGCCCUUGAAGAAAAGAACAGGGAUCUUCUGCCAUCUUCCCUUAACACAGUACACUACUGCAGACCAGAAGGCCCCCUUGCUCUUGUAUGCUUUGAAUAAGAGGGGCCUGCUGCUUAACUGUUUGUUGUUUUUUAUUUUAUUUUUUUUAAUUUUUAGUUUUAUGUUUCUUACCUAGACAAUCAAAGUCUGUAUUGUAGCCACAACUCUACUGAUUGGCCUGUGAAGAAAACAUUUAAUUUGUAAUGUGUUCCUUUUAUGUUUGGGUUAGGCCUUUCAGAAGAACUGCUAGAGGUGUUUGGACUUUUGCUGUACACUGAACACCCUAGUUCUUAUGUUAGAAACUAAUUCUGUAAAUAUCUUUCGUCUCACAGUGUUUUGUCCAGCAUACCACCAUGCAAAGUCACGUGCUGGAAUAUAAUAGCUGGUUAUCUUAUGGGUUGAUUUUACCUUUUGACUAGGGAGUUUAAUGACCUGCGUGGCAAGGAUUGCCACUGCCAAAAUAUCAGUGCCUCAAACAAAAGUAAAAAGUAAAAUGAUUAGAACCAUGUCAAUGAUUAUUGUUUAAGUAUUUAUAUUAUGUUAAGAGUAUGUACUAUGAUUUGGGGGGAAAAGUCAUUCUGUAGGAGAGUACAUUGUUUUAACUUUUUCUUUAACAAAGAAAAAAAUAGCUCUCCAUGGUAAUGAGACAAGUGUCUCUGUCCCGCUCUGUCUUUGGAUACAUAAUAGGCUGGGAUGGACAGUGAGACCAUGGGAGCUUGAGUUCAUGAUGGAGCUAGAAACAUACACCUUCUGUUGUUUUUUGGCGUAUACCAAAUACUACAUACUAACAACCAGGGGUACUCUGACCCAGCAGCGGCUAUGGAAAUAGUACCUUUCUUAAGAGUUGCAAAUUUAUAAGGUAAGGCAGUGACAAGAAAAUCUAUGUAUUAUAUCACUAUCUUAUUAUAUAUGACAUAUCCCUAUUAUUUAGUUGUAUCUGCAAGUUGGCAGCUGCCUUAAAACUAGUCUGUUUUCUGAGGCCAUACAUAUCAGUUGUCUUUGGCUUACUCAGGGAUUUUUAUUCCUUCCUUUAACUGUCUAAUAAUUUUAGGGAUAUUUUUAUGUUAUUUAGAAAACCUUCAGACCUCUAAAAUUAUAGAUUUGGUCUUUGCAAUGCAACUUUAAAAUAGUGUCAAAACAACUAUUCCAUUUAAGUAUACUUCAGUACUUGAGUUUUCCUGUUAUUGAUUACAUGGUUGAAUUAUGGCAUUAUUCUUCCUGGGUUUUUUUUAUAAAUAUUUUGCAAUUUUGUUACUGUCUGUAAACUGUUUUGUAGCUUUUUCAUUGUGGAAGGUUUAAGAUACCUCAACUCCCAUCUGAAAAAUAUGAUGUUAAGAUAUUAGGAAAAUUAAAUGAAAAGCACGUUUCCUUAUUAGUGCCAUCAGUGUGAGUAAGGUAAUAGAUUCCUUUACCUUUCGUUUUUAAACAGAAAGCUGUUUCAGAGAACAAAAAGCAUGUCAUUAAGGGGAAAAGAAGUACAAAAUACGCAUCUCUCAAUUCCUCCAGUAUCAUAAUCUAAGGCAUUUAAUCUGAUGGAGGUAGACAAAUUCAAAUCAAAAUGGAACUUCAUUUUGUUUGUGCACAUAACAAAAACAGGCAGCAUUUUUCCUAAUGCAUUUUUUGAAGUGAGGAAUUAUACUCCAAAUACCUUUUGUUAUGUAUAUGUUGUAAUUUGCCUCCUGGCUGUCUGGUUUGAGGGGGGAAAACUAAAUCCUGGAUUGCUUUGGCUUUUUAUAGUUCUGUUUUUUCCCCUUAAAUAGAGAUGCCUUUAUUUGUACACUAUAGUUAAGAUUUUUAUAUUUAGUAAUUAUUCCAUAAAUGGCAAAAUAUUUGUAUUUGAGUAUUCAACAGAAAUUUGUUUUUGUUGUUCUUUAGACCUCUAAACAGUCCUUUAAUUUCAUGGGAACAUUUAAAUAUUUGACUAGAUAGUAAAAAACAAUGCUCCCUAUAUCAUUUCUGAUAUGUAAUAUACUGAAAUUUGUGGCAUGGAAGAAUUUAUUUGGCCACCCUUAUAAGUAAACUAAAAUGAUUCUCAUUCCCCCUUGCAAAGGGAACACAUUUAGUAAGCAGUUCUGCCCUGCUGCUAUCAGUAGAACUCUUGCAUUAAACACUUGAGGUACAAGUAGCAGUCUACCCAAGUCAAGGAAGAGGUUGGCCGAUUUUGUAGAGAGAUUGUGGGGUCUGGUGCCAUAUUCAUGGGCUGAUCUCAGUGGCUCGCCCCAACCUCUGAUUGGCCGAGGGGCCCCAACGGCCUUGUCUCUUGCCAGUGAUUGGCUGUGAGGGCUGUCUGCCAUGCAGCCCCGCCCCUCACCACUGACAGGGCCACAUAGGCAGCUUUCUUAGCCAAUCAGGAGCAGGGGCAGCAGCCCUCUUGGGCUGCCCUUCAGGUGGGCGGCAGCAGCACCUCUUCCCCUCCCCCACAGGCUUUGCAGCCAUGCCACAGUGCCGUGAAGACUGCUGGCUCCCUCUGGGAAGCCAGUAUUUUAUUUUCAGUACGUUUUCUUUUUUUCUUUUUUUGCGGAUUUUGUGGGCAAUGAUAGAUUUCUCAAUGUCCAGGAAAUCACAAUUUCAGCAGGUCCCUGGUUAUAAGUUCUUUGGAUGCUUUGGGACAGUUUUUCUUGUAUGUGGAAAAAAACCAGAUCCAUAGGCUCUGAGAAUUAGAUGCAUCAAAAUUAUUUGUUCUUUAAGGAAUUCCUUCUCACCCAGAUCAAUCUUCUGAUUAAUUCUAGAGUAUAUUCUGUAAUAGCUGUAUAACACAAGUAUUCAUCUUUGUAAUUCAUAUUGUCUCUGCUUACCUUUUUAUAGCCUGGUUCUGUCUUGCCCCUAUUUUCUUAAAAUCCCACAAUGGAAUAAUAUAAGAGCAAACCAGUGGAGAUAUGAUUGCCUAACCAUUCCUAAGGAAAUUUCCAAGCAAAAACAAUACACCAUUAACUUAAACUAUCUUUCUGCAGCCACAUCUCUGCAGUUGUGGAUGGUUUAAAGGAUGGUCAGCUGCCACUGUAUAAGCCUUAUCUAGAUGACUUGAACUACAGACCGUGGACAGAGGUCCAUAUAAAUGGCUCUGCCUCCUCUUGAUCUGGUGUAUGUGGAAUAUUGUUCUGUGGGGAAUAACUACAGUCCUCAAAAAACCUCAUCCUUAGUUCUUUCUCCUGAUUUCUUUAGUAGAAGAGGAGAAGUGAUCCUAUGUACUGUUUUGUCAAGUUCAUAGCUGCCCUGGGCUAAAUAAAAUCUGAGGCUAAAGGCUAUAUAGUGGUUGUUAUAUAACAGAGAUCCUAUUAACUCAGUAUUGUUUAUUAACAUAUGUAUCCCCUCAACUUGGCAUUUUGAAUGGCUACUAUAAAUAUUCGCUCUGAAUGGCUAGCACGGGGGGUCAGCAACCUAUGGCUCACAGGCUGGAGCUGACCUGUGAAGCCAUUCAAUCCAGCCUGUGGAAAUGGGACUUUGACAGUGGGGAGCUUUGGUAGCAGUCACUUUCCUGUGCCUUUGCAGGGAGAAGUGCUGGCUGUGGGCAUUCUCCCCAUUCUGCCACAGGGAAAAGCAGUGGUGGCUAGGUCCCACCUGUCUGCUUGCCCACCCCUAAGUGGGUCAAUCUGGCCCACAGUCUUAAAAGUUUGCCAACUGCUUGGCUAGUGCCCUUGGCAUUUCUCAUCCACAUGUCCAUACCCACUUAGCUACUUGAUUUGUUAUGUGCCAAUCUAAUCCUAGUUUCUCUAAUAGUUUUAUUUCUCGUGCUGUUGUUCUCUCUUAGUUGCCUUCCUUCCACUAAGAGUAAUUAAAUUCUGCAUAAAUAAAACCAAGUGAGGUUACAGAGUGGUGAGGGCACCAGAAGGUGAGACAAUCCUGUUUGUGGUGGGGAUGUUAGGUAACUCUGAGUGCAGUAGGCUUGUAGAGUGGAUAUGUUUACUUAAUAAUCAUGUGGCUCUUACACAAGGAUGCUUACAUACGCUUCGUGUGAUAAAUCCCUACUCCUUGAGCAAGUAAGAGUGAAGUGAAUCAUUUGAGAGGCAGGACUGCAGUUGUGAGAGAGCUUGUGCUGCAGUUGGCUCAGUACUUUCCAUUUCAGCAGAAUAUAUUUACAGUAUGUUUUCACUUGUAUAUUAGUGUCUCUAAUAUAAAAUGCAAGAUUGUAGAUCAGUUGCAUCCCAAAAUCUCUGUGCUAAUUCAGAGGGUUGAGAAUCUAGAUUUGGUUGGGGUUUUUUUUUGAUACUUUGGUUGUGCUCACUGAACAGCUAUUGAUGAGAUGGGGUCUUCUAUUUGCAUUGGUUUACUUCAGUUCUGAAAAUUCGAACAUCACAUAGUUUUACUUUUUCUGUAUUAUGUGAAGAGUUUACUGACAGUUAAACUAGAAUACGUUUGCAUUUCUACUAUAACUUCCAUUUAGUCAGUUGACUGCCUCUCUUGAAAUCCAUAGUGACUAGUAUGACUUUAAAUGGAAAGUACAGGAGGAUAUAAUCCCUUUUUUCAUGAAGGACAGACUGUAGUGAUGAAAUGAUUCUAGAGGAUUUCAUGGUUUCUCUUGCCAGUUCUAUUUGGGAAACCAGUUCAAAAUCAGUAGCCAAAUAUGUUACAGACUUAGCUUUUUUACUGUUCUUGUGGCAUUCCUUUCUGGAGCAGACAUUACAUUUUUAUAAUCAUUGGCAUGGUUAUAGCUGUGCAGCUCCAAGUUGUGGAUGUGACCCAUGGGCUAUUAUUACCUUAUAAUCUAUAUUAGAUCACUACGAAUUUUGCUAAUGGGGCACCCAGAUGAUGGGAGAAAAUGUCUUGAUUUCUUCCUUAUUUGCAGUGGGUCAAACUCAGUGCUGGUGUUCGAACCAGCUCCAUUGAAAACAGUGAAGCUGCAUCCAUUUUUACACCAUUGGUGAAUUUGGCCUGUAAUGUGUUGACCAAAUUACCUGAAUGUAUGUUUAAAGAUGAUAAUGCAGAAAUUGAAAAAAUAAGAUUCGCUUCUGAAGAUCAGAAUUUUUUCUUGUAAAAAGACCUCCCAUUAUUUUUAGGCUGUCAGAAAUCUUGUGCAGCUGCUUCUGAGUAAUUCUAGCACUGAUUAUUUUUGUUUUUGUACAUUUUUUCCCUGUAGCACUAUUUAAUUAAGGGCAGUUGUCUUGGUUACAAAUAGUUUUUUCAUUAAAUUUCCCUGUAAGGAAAUACCAACUUGUACUUAUUUUCUCCUUGAAAUACUGAUAAUAUUAGAAACCACCUCUUCAACAGUGUUAAUUUAAGCCCUGCCUUUUUCAGUAUAACCCUCACGUGCAUGUUUUAGAAACUUCAACCAGCACAAUUCCAGCUUUAAAAGAAAGACCCUUACACUGGGACAAACUUGAAUGUGUGCACACUUAAUCACAAAAGCAGUGUGUGUUGCUAAUGUUUUUGGUAUUUUAUCUGCUUAGAUAAGGAGGCACAGAACAUGGCUUCCCCAUCUGUCUAAAUCUACUAUGAAGUCAGUCCUGUGAUUCAAACAGUUAGAUGUGGAAAUUACUGGAGUUGUGAUUUAGCGUUGACUCAGUGAAGCAGAAGUAAUUGGCUUGUUUAGGAGGUUAGGAAAAUUUAGAGAAUGAGCUGAGUGUUUAAAGUGUGACUAUAUGUGAAAACCUCCAUCCCAUCAUGCUGUCUUACUGGAAAAAAUACUCUUGCAACAUAGUUUGAUUUUUUUUUUUCUUUAAUAGACCGUAUAGUAAAAAUGCACCUUUUUACUUCCUGUUCACAGUACUGUCAUUCUUUUGUCCAUGUAACUUUAAGAACAAGGACUUAUACAUCUAUAUAUUUUGCCUUCCUAUAAAAAGUGGAAAUUUUAGCAUUGAAAGGCAUUUAAUCUCCAGUGCUGUUUGUAGCCUAACAUUAAAACAUUUGUCAACAUACAUGCUUAGAGAGUUGGAGCUUGAUCAUAGAAUGCAUGAUGUGUUUGAGGUGUAUGAGUAUAUAAGUAACUAUUGUUAGUUGUUCCUUUGGAAAAAAAACAAAUUGUAAUAUUAAACAUAUCUCCCAUUAUUUCCCCUAUAUAAUGCAGUAAGGGUCCUGUCCCUGAUUGUAAUCAGGAGAGAAUACUGCAUGUUGUGCAGCAGAAAACCUGUUGAAACCAUACUUAAUUCACAUGAAACAUUGAACAGUAAAUCCAAAAGCUAUUGGAUGGGAUCAAAGUCAGCAUGAGAGAGGUUUAUAUGUAAAUUAUUAGCAAAAUGUAAAUAGUCACAUUAGGAAUGGCUAAAGUAGAAAAUGUAAAACCCUAUUAGAGAUCACUGCAUGCCAACCUUCACCAGCCAUCAUGUGGCAUAAAGCCUGGAAACAGCAAAUAGAACAUUCCUGGAAAACGGGGGGGGGGGGGGGGGGGGGGGGGGGGGAGAGAGAGGGGGAAGCGUAGUAAAAAACUAUUAGUCGCAAGUUGCUAAAAUAUGAGCACCUCUCCUUGUAGAUUGUUCACAGUCAAAAAAUGCAGUCACAUCUAGUGCAAGCCCACUGUAUGCAGUGGAUUGUUUUGUGCCAUGUCCCCAUCUUUUUAUAUAGAAAUGUAUUAAGAAUGUUUUGUGUUACCCCUUUCAUGUUAAUCUCUACAUUCUGCUGCUUCAUAUCCAAGGACAAAAAAGACGAGGAGAAUAUACAUUUCACUCUGUGUAUGCCAUCUCAUAAUAAAAUGUGUUUACCAUA
This is an RNA transcript of Alligator mississippiensis (American alligator), 8064 nucleotides long. It is a transcript of the gene named ring finger protein 217, with no coding region annotated. Lineage: Eukaryota; Metazoa; Chordata; Crocodylia; Alligatoridae. The transcript is spliced from 7 exons. The record is from RefSeq and is a predicted model, not a curated record.